This 253-nucleotide ribosomal RNA is filed under the name uncultured bacterium. RNAcentral describes it as "partial 16S ribosomal RNA". It matches the Rfam family "Bacterial small subunit ribosomal RNA", at positions 524 to 776 of the family's 1533-position model. The record is from RNAcentral.
UACGUAGGGUGCAAGCGUUGUUCGGAAUCAUUGGGCGUAAAGCGCGUGUAGGUGGUUAAUUAAGUCGAUUGUGGAAGCCCUCGGCUCAACCGAGGAAGUGCAGUCGAAACUGACUAGCUAGAGGACGGCAGAGGAAGGUGGAAUUCCAAGUGUAGAGGUGAAAUUCGUAGAUAUUUGGAGGAAUACCUGUGGCGAAGGCGGCCUUCUGGACCGGUCCUGACACUGAGACGCGAAAGCGUGGGGAGCAAACAGG